ACAAGUGCAGUCCUUCAACCACUGCUGGUGUCAAGUGCAGGAAAAUAACAAGGGGCUCACAGAUUUUUUACAGAGCAGCCGAGACAGCAUAAUGCUGGAUUGUAACUCUGUUGUUACAGUGUCUUUCACCAAGCACAGCUGUUCCGGGGACGGCCACGUGCUGUCUUUUUGCCUGUUUGCUACGGUCGACACGGUGGAGGCAGGUCGUGACAUUGCACGGACGGCUGGACACCGAAGCGACGCAGGCUGACCAUCAACCUUCUCAAGGGUGACCCAUCUUCAGCCUCCUGAGUACGCUGAAGGCAUCAUACUCACCUAGCCAUGCCUGGAGGAGUUCUGGAUGUCUCAGUGGAAAUCUGCGGGAGACAACGAGGUCGGACUGUCAAAACACCGAAACAAUGCUGUCUUUCAAUAAAGCAAAUACAUAUUUGUGCAUUUCUAA
This is a long non-coding RNA of Ixodes scapularis (black-legged tick), 442 nucleotides long. RefSeq lists it as uncharacterized. The transcript is spliced from 2 exons. NCBI's taxonomy places the organism in Eukaryota, Metazoa, Arthropoda, Arachnida, Ixodida, Ixodidae. The record is from RefSeq and is a predicted model, not a curated record.